Molecule: ribosomal RNA, 562 nt
Filed under: uncultured bacterium
Lineage: Bacteria
Description: partial 16S ribosomal RNA
Rfam family: Bacterial small subunit ribosomal RNA
Source: RNAcentral
UGGGGAAUAUUGCACAAUGGGCGCAAGCCUGAUGCAGCAACGCCGCGUGAGGGAUGACGGCCUUCGGGUUGUAAACCUCUUUUAGUAGGGAAGAAGCGAAAGUGAUGGUACCUGCAGAAAAAGCACCGGCUAACUACGUGCCAGCAGCCGCGGUAAUACGUAGGGUGCGAGCGUUGUCCGGAAUUAUUGGGCGUAAAGAGCUCGUAGGCGGUCUGUCGCGUCUGCUGUGAAAACCCGAGGCUCAACCUCGGGCCUGCAGUGGGUACGGGCAGACUAGAGUGCGGUAGGGGAGAAUGGAAUUCCUGGUGUAGCGGUGGAAUGCGCAGAUAUCAGGAGGAACACCGAUGGCGAAGGCAGUUCUCUGGGCCGUAACUGACGCUGAGGAGCGAAAGCGUGGGGAGCGAACAGGAUUAGAUACCCUGGUAGUCCACGCCGUAAACGUUGGGCGCUAGAUGUGGGGACCAUUCCACGGUUUCCGUGUCGCAGCUAACGCAUUAAGCGCCCCGCCUGGGGAGUACGGCCGCAAGGCUAAAACUCAAAUGAAUUGACGGGGUCAUAGCUG